This 492-nucleotide ribosomal RNA is filed under the name uncultured bacterium. RNAcentral's name for it is "partial 16S ribosomal RNA". It matches the Rfam family "Bacterial small subunit ribosomal RNA", at positions 29 to 507 of the family's 1533-position model. The record is from RNAcentral.
AGUGAACGCUGGCGGUAGGCCUAACACAUGCAAGUCAAACGGCAGCACAGUAAGAGCUUGCUCUUACGGGUGGCGAGUGGCGGACGGGUGAGGAAUACAUCGGACUCUACUUUUUCGUGGGGGAUAACGUAGGGAAACUUACGCUAAUACCGCAUACGACCUACGGGUGAAAGCAGGGGAUCUUCGGACCUUGCGCGAUUGAAUGAGCCGAUGUCGGAUUAGCUAGUUGGCGGGGUAAAGGCCCACCAAGGCGACGAUCCGUAGCUGGUCUGAGAGGAUGAUCAGCCACACUGGAACGGAGACACGGUCAAGACUCCUACGGGAGGGAGCAGUGGGGUAUAUUGGACAAUGGGGGCAAGCCUGAUCCAGCCAUACCGCGUGGGUGAAGAAGGCCUUCGGGUUGUAAAGCCCUUUUGUUGGGAAAGAAAAGCAGCAGGUUAAUACCCCGCUGUUCUGACGGUACCCAAAGAAUAAGCACCGGCUAACUUCGUG